Small nucleolar RNA from Zingiber officinale, 107 nucleotides. The record is from RefSeq and is a predicted model, not a curated record. Lineage: Eukaryota; Viridiplantae; Streptophyta; Magnoliopsida; Zingiberales; Zingiberaceae.
AAUCCAUGAUGUGGGCAUUAUCUGACCAUAUUUUUCUAUCUCUCCCAUGCUUCAAAUAAUGAUUCAGAGUCUGACUGUCUGAAGCUUGCUAUUAAAUUUCUCAUAUG